RNAcentral lists this ribosomal RNA (1350 nucleotides) under metagenome. RNAcentral's name for it is "bacterial LSU rRNA". It matches the Rfam family "Bacterial large subunit ribosomal RNA", at positions 1564 to 2925 of the family's 2925-position model. The record is from RNAcentral.
UGAGUACGAGCGGCCACGGCCGCGAAGUGGAUGAUGUCAAGCUUCCAAGAAAAGCCCUAUACCCGUUAAGGCAUGAUGGCCUGUACCCGAAACCGACACAGGUGGGGUGGUAGAGAAUACCGAGGGGCGCGAGGUAACUCUCUCUAAGGAACUCGGCAAAAUGGCCCCGUAACUUCGGGAGAAGGGGUGCCACCGCGAGGUGGUCGCAGUGAAGAGGCCCAGGCGACUGUUUACCAAAAACACAGGUCUCCGCUAAGUCGCAAGACGAUGUAUGGGGGCUGACGCCUGCCCAGUGCCGGAAGGUUAAGGAAGCUGGUCAGCGCAAGCGAAGCUGGCGACUGAAGCCCCGGUGAACGGCGGCCGUAACAAUAACGGUCCUAAGGUAGCGAAAUUCCUUGUCGGGUAAGUUCCGACCCGCACGAAAGGCGUAACGAUCUGGGCGCUGUCUCUGAGAGAGGCUCGGCGAAAUAGAAUUGUCUGUGAAGAUGCGGACUACGUGCACCCGGACAGAAAGACCCUAUGAAGCUUUACUGUAGCUUGGUAUUGUGCUCGGGCUCGGAAUGCGCAGGAUAGGUGGGAGGCUUUGAUCCAUUGCUUGCGGGUGAUGGUGAGCCACUGGUGAGAUACCACUCUUUCCGAGCUAGAGUUCUAACAGCAACCCGUUAUCCGGGUGCUGGACAGUAUCAGGUGGGCAGUUUGACUGGGGCGGUCGCCUCCUAAAAGGUAACGGAGGCGCGCAAAGGUCUGCUCAGGCUGGUUGGAAAUCAGCCGACGAGUGUAAAAGCAGAAGCAGGCUUGACUGUGAGACCUACAAGUCGAACAGGGAGGAAACUCGGCUUUAGUGAUCCGACGGCUCUGCGUGGAAGGGCCGUCGCUCAACGGAUAAAAGUUACUCUAAGGAUAACAGGCUGAUCUCCCCCAAGAGUUCACAUCGACGGGGAGGUUUGGCACCUCGAUGUCGGCUCAUCGCAACCUGGGGCUGAAGUCGGUCCCAAGGGUUGGGCUGUUCGCCCAUUAAAGCGGUACGCGAGCUGGGUUCAGAACGUCGUGAGACAGUUCGGUCCAUAUCCGGUGCACGCGCAGGAAUAUUGAGAGGAUUUCUCCCUAGUACGAGAGGACCGGGAGGAACGCACCUCUGGUGUGCCAGUUAUCGUGCCAACGGUAAACGCUGGGUAGCCAUGUGCGGAGUGGAUAACCGCUGAAAGCAUCUAAGUGGGAAGCCCACCUCAAGAUGAGUAUUCCCAUGGCAUAAGCCAGUAAGGUCACGGGAAGAACACCCGUUGAUAGGCUCUACGUGGAAGCUCAGUAAUGUGUGAAGCGGAGGAGUACUAAUAGACCGAGGGCUUGACC